UAUCAUCUGAUGAGAAAAUACUGCAACAACAUGAUCCAUUCCCUUGGUGAUUAUAUUUAAGUCUCUGAUGAUA
Small nucleolar RNA from Malania oleifera, 73 nucleotides. RefSeq annotates it as small nucleolar RNA Z199. Lineage: Eukaryota; Viridiplantae; Streptophyta; Magnoliopsida; Santalales; Ximeniaceae. The record is from RefSeq and is a predicted model, not a curated record. The transcript has a single exon.